RNAcentral lists this ribosomal RNA (492 nucleotides) under uncultured bacterium. RNAcentral's name for it is "partial 16S ribosomal RNA". It matches the Rfam family "Bacterial small subunit ribosomal RNA", at positions 29 to 507 of the family's 1533-position model. The record is from RNAcentral.
AGUGAACGCUGGCGGUAGGCCUAACACAUGCAAGUCGAACGGCAGCACAGUAAGAGCUUGCUCUUACGGGUGGCGAGUGGCGGACGGGUGAGGAAUACAUCGGAAUCUACUUUUUCGUGGGGGAUAACGUAGGGAAACUUACGCUAAUACCGCAUACGACCUACGGGUGAAAGCAGUGGAUCUUCGGACCUUGCGCGAUUGAAUGAGCCGAUGUCGGAUUAGCUAGUUGGCGGGGUAAAGGCCCACCAAGGCGACGAUCCGUAGCUGGUCUGAGAGGAUGAUCAGCCACACUGGAACUGAGACACGGUCCAGACUACUACGGGAGGCAGCAGUGGGGAAUAUUGGACAAUGGGCGCAAGCAUGAUCCAGCCAUACCGCGUGGGUGAAGAAGGCCUUCGGGUUGUAAAGCCCUUUUGUUGGGAAAGAAAAGCAGCAGGUUAAUACCACGCUGUUCUGACGGUACCCAAAGAAUAAGCACCGGCUAACUUCGUG